RNAcentral lists this ribosomal RNA (102 nucleotides) under uncultured bacterium. RNAcentral describes it as "partial 16S ribosomal RNA". The record is from RNAcentral.
CCUUCGGGUUGUAAAGCUCUGUCGGACGGGACGAAAAGUUUUGAGGUGAAUAGCCUCAAGAUGUGACGGUACCGUUAAAGGAAGCACCGGCUAACUCUGUGC